Molecule: ribosomal RNA, 402 nt
Filed under: uncultured bacterium
Lineage: Bacteria
Description: bacterial SSU rRNA
Rfam family: Bacterial small subunit ribosomal RNA
Source: RNAcentral
UCGGGAAUUUUGAGCAAUGGGCGAAAGCCUGACCCAGCAACGCCGCGUGAGGGAUGAAGUAUUUCGGUAUGUAAACCUCGAAAGAAUGGGAAGAAUAAAUGACGGUACCAUUUAUAAGCUCCGGCUAACUACGUGCCAGCAGCCGCGGUAAUACGUAGGGAGCAAGCGUUGUUCGGAUUUACUGGGCGUAAAGGGCGCGUAGGCGGCGCGGUAAGUCACUUGUGAAAUCUCUGAGCUUAACUCAGAACGGCCAAGUGAUACUGCUGUGCUAGAGUGCGGAAGAGGCUACCGGAAUGCUGGGUGUAGCGGUGAAAUGCGUAGAUAUCAAGAGGAACACCUGAGGCGAAGGCGGGUUGCUGGGCCGACACUGACGCUGAUGCGCGAAAGCCAGGGGAGCAAACG